This 429-nucleotide ribosomal RNA is filed under the name Chloroflexota bacterium. Its description in RNAcentral is "Chloroflexi bacterium partial 16S ribosomal RNA". It matches the Rfam family "Bacterial small subunit ribosomal RNA", at positions 355 to 776 of the family's 1533-position model. The record is from RNAcentral. Lineage: Bacteria; Bacillati; Chloroflexota.
UGGGGAAUAUUGCACAAUGGGCGCAAGCCUGAUGCAGCCAUGCCGCGUGUAUGAAGAAGGCCUUCGGGUUGUAAAGUACUUUCAGUCGGGAGGAAGGUGGUAAGGUUAAUAACCUUAUCAAUUGACGUUACCGACAGAAGAAGCACCGGCUAACUCCGUGCCAGCAGCCGCGGUAAUACGGAGGGUGCAAGCGUUAAUCGGAAUUACUGGGCGUUAAGCGCACGCAGGCGGUUGAUUGAGUCAGAUGUGAAAUCCCCGGGCUUAACCCGGGAAUUGCAUCUGAUACUGGUCAGCUAGAGUCUUGUAGAGGGGGGUAGAAUUCCAUGUGUAGCGGUGAAAUGCGUAGAGAUGUGGAGGAAUACCGGUGGCGAAGGCGGCCCCCUGGACAAAGACUGACGCUCAGGUGCGAAAGCGUGGGGAGCAAACAGG